CGAUUGUCUCUGACAGAGGUGGGCAGAAUGUAGUCUCAGAAAGGUGGAGGUGUCUCUCAAUUUCAAUGAGAGGUAUCUCUGUGUGCAGACCACAGAUUUUUGAGAGAUGAUUCUGCCUGAGAACAGCUGAUGGGAACAACAGAGAUUGGGGUUAACUGCUCAGAGAAGUGACCAAGGAGAUCUGGCGCUGCUGAUAAAUAAAAGGAUGGAGGCCAAAGAGUUCGGGAGCUUUUGGACAUCCAGACUGCUUGGCUGACGGUUCUUUAAAGAUCCUGAUCCAGGAUCCUGAUCUUCACUUUAUUCACUUAUGCUCGAUAAAUAAAUUGAUUGAUUUUGA
Molecule: non-coding RNA, 337 nt
Organism: Danio rerio (zebrafish)
Lineage: Eukaryota; Metazoa; Chordata; Actinopteri; Cypriniformes; Danionidae
Source: RefSeq, a predicted model, not a curated record